This 253-nucleotide ribosomal RNA is filed under the name uncultured bacterium. RNAcentral's name for it is "partial 16S ribosomal RNA". It matches the Rfam family "Bacterial small subunit ribosomal RNA", at positions 524 to 776 of the family's 1533-position model. The record is from RNAcentral.
UACGUAGGUGGCAAGCGUUGUCCGGAUUUACUGGGCGUAAAGCGCGCGCAGGCGGGCUGGUCAGUCCGGGGUGAAAUCUCACGGCUCAACCGUGAGCGGUCCCCGGAUACUGCCAGUCUUGAGGUGUCUAGAGGAGAGCGGAAUUCCCGGUGUAGAGGUGAAAUUCGUAGAUAUCGGGAGGAACACCGGUGGCGAAGGCGGCGACCUGGGACGAUACUGACGCUGAGGUGCGAAAGCGUGGGGAGCAAACAGG